GAGAAGAACGUAGCGAAAUGCGAUAAGUAGUGUGAAUUGCAGAAUUCAGUGAAUCAUCGAAUCUUUGAACGCACAUUGCGCCCCUUGGUAUCCCGAGGGGCAUGCCUGUUCGAGCGUCAUUUCACCACUCAAGCCUGGCUUGGUGUUGGGCGACGUCCCCUUUGGGGACGCGCCUCGAAACGCUCGGCGGCGUGGCACCGGCUUUAAGCGUAGCAGAAUCUUUCGCUUUGGAAGUCGGGGCCCCGUCUGCCGGAAGACCUACUCGCAAGGUUGACCUCGGAUCAGGCAGGGAUACCCGCUGAACUUAAGCAUAUCAAUAAGCGGAGGA
RNAcentral lists this unclassified non-coding RNA (328 nucleotides) under soil metagenome. Its description in RNAcentral is "partial contains 5.8S ribosomal RNA, internal transcribed spacer 2, and large subunit ribosomal RNA". The stretch from base 3 to 119 matches the Rfam family "5.8S ribosomal RNA", at positions 38 to 154 of the family's 154-position model. The record is from RNAcentral.